Molecule: long non-coding RNA, 16313 nt
Filed under: Citrus sinensis (sweet orange)
Lineage: Eukaryota; Viridiplantae; Streptophyta; Magnoliopsida; Sapindales; Rutaceae
Description: long non-coding RNA (CSIN_LNC002213)
Source: RNAcentral
UCAACAUGCAAAUUGCUGAACUUGGAAAUUUUGAUAUUACGAAAUUGUUCCCGUUUGAUAAAGCUUCCGCCCAAAAUGAGGAAUUUGAUCAAUUUACGCCAUCUCGAUAUAAAAGGUGCAAAGCUGCUGAAGGAGAUGCCAUUGGGAAUGAAAGCGUUGAGGAGUCUUCAAACAUUGUCCAAUUUUAUUGUAGGCAAGGGUGAAUCUGCAUCUGGUUUGGAAGAUUUAAAAAGUUUAAACUUUCUUUGUGAUGAACUCUGCAUUGCUGGAUUAGAGAGUGUGAAUAGUCCACAGAAUGCAAGAGAAGCCGCAUUAUGCGAGAAGCACAAUCUUGAAGCAUUGACUCUAGAAUGGGGGUCUCAAUCUAACAGUCCUCGGGAUGCAGUACUAGAGGAGAAUGUACUUGACACUCUACAGCCUCAUAAACGUAUAAAAGAGCUGGCAAUCAGGCACUAUGGUGGUGCAAGAUUUCCACUUUGGAUCGGACAUCCUUCGUUCUCCGAGAUGAAGGUCCUUAAAUUGGAGAACUGUGACAAGUGUGUAUCUCUGCCAUCGCUUGGCCUGAUGAAUUCACUUAAGCACCUUGCUGUUAAAGGGCUGAAGAAACUAAAAAGCAUAGAGUCUGCGGUCUUUCCAUCAUUGGAGAUUCUAAGUUUUGAGAAUUUGCCAGAAUGGGAGCAUUGGGACACCAAUAUCAAUGGAAAUGUGCACCUUGAAAUAUUUCCUCAUCUCCAAGAACUUUCCAUUGCAGAAUGUCCCAAACUCUCUGGAGAACUGCCUGAGCUCCUGCCCUCCUUGGAGACACUUGUCGUUAGUAAAUGUGAACAGUUGGCAGUUCCAUUGUCUUGCUAUCCGAUGCUCUGCAGAUUAGAAGUUGAUGAGUGCAAAGAACUCGUGUGCGGGACUCCAAUUAAUUUUAAGUUGGUAAAGUCUUUGACCAUUUCAAAUAGUUCAUUAGACAUGAAUGGAUGCAAUGGGAUGCUAUACCAUGGUCCAGCUGGCUCUUCACUGUCUAAACGCAUGACUAUUACAAAUGUUUUGGAGUUUGGAAAAUUAUUGAAGCCUGGAUUUCAGAUAUUAGAAUAUUUGGUAAUUGGCAAUUCUGAACAGCUCAAGUCAUGGAGGCGGGCCAGGAGACCUAGACGUUUUAAUGAACCAGAACACGGGCUAAAAAUUCUCGCUUCCCCUGAAGAGGUAACAAUUGAAGAAAGUUGCGUAAAUCUUGUUUUGUUUGCAGAGAUCAAUUUCUUUCCCAGAAAUCUGCGCUCUCUUCUAAUUUUCAAUAACAUACCUUUAAAAUCCUUACCCGAGGAAAUGAUGGACAACAAUUCACAACUGGAAAGCUUGUGCAUCAGAAAUUGCGAUUCUCUAACAUUCAUCACAAGACACAAGCUACCUUCAUCUCUAAAAAGUAUAGCAAUUAAGAAUUGUGAGAAAUUGCAACGUCCGUUCGAUGAUGAAGAGGAUGCUUCUUCUUCUUCUUCUCCUUCAUCCUCGUCUUCCCCAGUGAUGCUGCAAUGCCUGACUAUAGAGAACUGCCCAGAGCUCACCAGUUUAUCAUCGGGAAUCCAAUUCCUUGAGGCGCUUGAAGUACUCGAGCUAAGGGAUUGUCGAAAGCUGGAGUCAUUACCGGAUGGCCUGCAAAAUCUUAACUGUUUACAGAGCAUUCAUAUAGAUGGAUGUCCAAGUCUUGUUUCCUUCCCAGAAAGAGGGCUUCCCAACACCAUUUCGAGAGUUUACAUUCGUGGUUGUGAGAAGCUUGAAGCCCUGCCCAACGACAUGCACAAACUCAACUCUCUCGAAACUUUAAACAUACGGAAAUGUCCAAAUCUUGUGUCGUUUCCAGAGGAAGGUUUUCCUACCAGUCUAGUAUCACUUACAAUUGGAUAUGUCAAAAUGUAUAAGACACUCGUCCAGUGGGGGUUGCAUAGGCUUACCUCUCUUACACACCUCGAGAUUAUUGGAUGUGAUGAUGAAGCAGAGUGUUUUCCAGACGAGGAGAUAGGAAUGAUGCUGCCCACCUCUCUCACUCAUCUGCAACUUUCGGAAUUCAAAAAAUUGAUAUCUCUCUCUUCGACGGGUUUUCAGAGCCUCAACUCUCUUCAAUCUUUGUGGAUAUUGGGUUGCCCAAAUCUCACAUCAUUCCCAGAGGUGGGCCUUCCAUCCUCACUUUUGGAAUUACACAUUGUCAAGUGUCCAAAGCUUAAAGAAGUUUGCAAAAGAGACCAAGGAGAAGAGUGGCCCAAAAUUGCUCACAUCCCUUGUUUUGAGAUAGACUGGAAAUUCAUAUACGAUCCAGAAUCAGAGGAGUAGAUUCUCCUAUUAAGGUCAGUUGAUUUUUUAUUAUCCGUUAUAACAAGCUCCUCCUUUUUUUAUUUUUUUAAUAAUAAUUUAGCAGUUCUAUAUAAUUAUAAAUCCUCCGCCCUUAAUUGAAAAUGUCACUCAUUUGAUUCCAUUUUCACAAGUCAGAUCGUAUGUUGAGGUUAUUUGCAUUCUAUCGGUGUUUAUUAAGGUAAUUAGUGCGUUAUAGGUUGAUUACUCACAGAUUAAGUUAUAACAUUUAUCUUAAAAUUUAAUGUCAUAGACAGAGAUGAUUUUUUAAUCCAAAGUUUUCUUGAUUCACUUCAAUUAGCAUUUUCUUUUCCCCAGAUCAGGCACGCGGAGAGUUCCAAUCAAGAAUUGGAGCAUGUGAAUGGGAUUUUUGUGAAAACAUAAUGAUGCAGGAACUGCGAUCUCAAAGUCAACAGAAUUUUAUUUACUCAUUGACUUUUCAACUCCUGCGGUUAUUUAUGGGUGAAAGAAAGAUAAGGGCAAUUUCAAGAAAUUUGCAAACUCUGUCAAUUUCUUUUAAUUGUACCAAUUUGUCGUUUAUGCUUUGGUUUUAUUUUUUCAGUUUUGUUUAUUGCUUAGAUGGUAGCAUACUUGAAAUGAUACAUAGCCUUCACCGGCAGAAUUCUAGUCUUGGCUUUCACCUCUCUAACUCAUCUCAUCUGUUCCUAUUGGGAUUCCAGAAAUUGAAAUUUCUGUCAUCAAUGGGUUUCAAAGCCUCACCGCUCUCCGAUUUUUGUGGAUCGGGAAUUGCACAAAUCUCACAUCAUUUCCAGAGGUGGGCCUUCCAUCCUUGCUUUUUGGAAUUACAAAUUGGAAAAUGCUACUUUCCCCGGGUCAAAUCCCAGGUCAAACCCCGAAUUAAACCAAAACGACACCGUUUUGGUUUCUUUUUUUUGUCCUUUUUGCUUCCAUGAAACGUGGUCGUUUCAGCCAAACAAAAGCAAAUGUCUUCGUUUUUUACUUCCUCUCCUCUUCGAUUCUCCUCUUCGUUUUACCAACAGACCAACAGAGCACAAAUUGCAGAAGUCACUUGCACAUCAAUUCAUCACAAAAUGCAGAGUUUUACUAAAGAAAAAAACGAUGCCGUUUUUCUUGCCAAAUAUUUUCCAUUUCCUUCGUUCAUGGAGCUCCUGCCACCGCCAAAGCCAAAUAUUUCCCCUUUCAUUUCCUUCAUCAAUCAAGCUCCAGCCACUUGCUUCGUCGAUCGAGCUCUAGCCACAGCCAUUCGCAAAUCGCAGUCCACAAUCCGCGCCUGAAAUUGUCAUUCACAAUCCACAACUCACAACCAUUUUUUUUUUUGUAAAUUACUAAGCCAAAAGCUUUGCAUAAGCUUCUGCUUCGGUUUUGAAGAUUGUGAAGCUGGAAAUGUUUUUUCCCUUUUUAUAAAUGGAUAAUUGAAAGUUUGAACUUUACCUUCGUACUUUCUUUUUCAUAAAUUGCUCAUGGUGCAGUCUCAUUUUGCUAGUUGAAGAAACAGUUAAGGGGGUCUGUAGUUGAGAAGAAAGAGGAAACGAAAAUGAAAAGAAAAAGCUUAAGUCUCGGUGCGUUCAAGUAGCAUUUUUUCAAUUAAAAAAUUUAAUUCUCAAAACGGCGUCGUUUUCUAAAGUUUCGGGGUUUGACCCGGGAUUUGAUCCGGGGUAAAUAGCAGAACUCUUACAAAUUUACAGUUGUCAGAAGCUUGAAAAAGUGUGUAAAAGAGAUCAAAAUUCUUGUCUUGGCUUUCACGGAUAGUUUUUAUCACGUAACCACGUGAGGAAGCAUGUGCUGGAGCCUGAAUUCAGUUAGUUAAAGUUUGUUAACCACGUGUCAACAAACUGUAUAAUCUGGAAAAUAAGCUGGCUAUUGAAACAGGGUAUAAAGGCUGGUUUUUCGGACUAUCGAGAGCUGAUUCUAGAGUCUUGUAGAAAGAGGUUUGUGAGAGAGAAAGUGUCAUCUUGUUCUCUGUAAAAUCCGAUAUAGGGCUCUGUAACGAUCUCCAUUGUUGAAUCAAUAAAACUCAUCUAGAAGCUUCUCUCGUGGACGUAUUCUGAGCAAUCAAUGCACAGCUGAACCACGUAAUAUCUUGGUUUCUGUGGGUUCUUGUUUUGGUUCUUGAUAAAUUCUUGUUGUUGUAUUGAGGUGUGAUUUGAUCUGUCUAAACUUGUAUCUGUGCAACUUGAAUUGAUUUGAUGAUAAGAAUCUUGGGCAGUGAUCAGAUUCGUUUAGUUUAAAGAACAAGCUGAUUACUACCGUACCUAUGCAUGGACCUGCAACCUGUGCUGACAAAACUGAAACUGUGAGUUUGAGGUAAAAAGGUCCUGGACCCUCACAGUUUAACUUUGACUUGUUGCUUUCUGGAUAAACAUAUUUUAGAAAUUUGCAAUUUGUUGUUAAUUAUGGUAUGUGAUUUUCUUCUUUGUUUUCGCUUUUGUAGAAUCUACCGUAUUACAUAUUGGCAGUUGUAUCUGAGGUACCUUUUUUGCAUUUAACUUGCCUUUAUCUGUUUUGCCUGUUACUUAACAACACAAACACAUCAUUUCCCAAACAUUUGGAGAAGCAUCUCAAGAUGCUUAACAAACUUGACAAACUUCAAGAUGCUCCCAAGCCUUGAUUCUUCACAAUGGAAGACCUGUGAGUACACUUAUGCCCGCAAUUAUUGUGAAGUGAUUGCAACUUUGAUGCAGCGAAAUGGUUUGCUGAUGCAAAGCUUUAAAACUGUUAAGAAUUACCCUGCAGGCUUGUUGGAUGUUGUAUACUCCAAAAGCCACCAACACCAAGAACUAUAACAGCAAGACUAGGUUUGCAUUAAUUCAAUUAGCUGAAAUAAUGAUGCAAAUGGCACUAUCCAGCUGGACUUAGAGACUAGUCAGGUCAAUCAUCCAUUUCAUCAACAGUUAAUGUCAGGAUGGUGGCUAGCAGAGGAAACAAAGGAUAUGUUGGAAUCAAUAAGAACAGUGAGAAGCAUGAGAGGAGCUUUGAUUAUAAGUAGGCUCAAUGAACUAGUGUUGGUAAGUGGUAAUUAGAGCAAUUUGUGAGCUUAGUAGAGUUUCAAUAUUUUCUGUUUGGGAUAUAGUUGAUAAGUUGAUACUCUGAUUAAGAAGGCUGAUUAUAGUAGCUGACUAUAUUAACCGGGUUCUCUUUUUUGGUUUGCUGUUGUUUUUUCUUUCAAUAUCUUUUUCAACAUUAGGUUUAGCUGUUGAAGAACAAGCUUGGGUUUGAUUAUCAGGUAAGAACAAAUGAAUGCUUUAACCAUGUUUCUCACUUAUCACAAUGCACGGAUUGAAGGCGUCUGAGUUGAUCCUGAAAAUUUGAUGGAAACACUUCUCUGUUUUCAUAAAACAGGACAACCAGAAAUAUCUGAUCAUGCCUGAGAAUUCGUCGCAUUGAAAUUUUCUACCAUUGCCAAACAUAGAAUAAACCAGGGAUACAUUAGCUUAAGACUCAAUUUUGAGAAGGAAGUUUGUACUUGCAGACUAUAAAAUCAUGUCCACCUUGUAUGUUUCUGUGGGGAAUGAAAGAUUCUGUGUGUUCUUUUACUUCGGGUUUGCUGAAAUCACAUUUGUUUUCUCAGAUGCUUUCCGGAAGGUAACAACGUCAAUUUAAAAAAUGUUGGGGUAAGAUGCAUCAUGCAGUGCUGCUCAACAUGAGAAUUCCUGGCCGCAUUACCCGUAUGUGGAAUGAUCUCACACUACAACCUUGAGAAGGUUGUAAGGAGUACACAACUAGAUGCGAGUAGUUUCAAAAUGAAUUCACAUGGAAUUAUAUGUUGCCGCUUAUUACUAUCACGUCUAUCCGAAAAUUCUUGGAAUUUGUCACCAGCAUUGAAGGAUUGUAUACGUGAAGACAUAGCUGAUGGCCUUGCGAAAGCUCCAUCAGCACUUAUAUCGGAAACAGCUGGUUGUAGUUGCUCCUGAGUGAUAUGAUUAAUAGAUACUGUAAAAAUGAACUGUGCCACUCAUAUCGAAAACCAGCUGUUAUGAUGUGUUGGUAAUGUGUUUGAUGCUUGUUUGAUUUAUGUUGUAUUCGGCUAUAAAUCAAAGAUCAGAACAUGGGUGUGUUACUGGUUUCCAAAUCAAAAAAUGCCUUGUGAUGUUAGUGUUCACUGUUUUCACAGGAGACCAGGUUCCUUGUUAAUGAGUCAAGAAGAAGACAAGUGAAUCCAUGUCUGAGUUCAAAUGUGUCUUUUCUAUUUCUUUUACUGACAUUUAUUUUGAUUUCUUUGACUAGAUGACUAAAGAGUAAAGAUAGAAGAAAUCAAAACAAAUGAGUCAGGUCCCACCUGGCCCAUUGGCCCAUCUCUCUUCCAGCCCAAAUCACUCUCAUUCGCUAUUUUGCCACCUUCAUUUCACUGCCCUCAUAGCUCCCCGUUCUCACGGUGGCUGCCAUCUUUCUGCUCACGCAUCUUUCAAAUUUCAAACCUAACAGCAUUCUGUUGCUCUGUCGUGGGUACUUCAAUUUCUGUCACCUUCGGUAAGCUUAUCUCCGCCCCUCUGUGGCUGUCUCUUUACAAUGUUGUUUCUUAUUCAAUUUACAGAAUUAAAUUCACUGUUCAGUUUAUGGGUUAGAUUUUUAUUCAAAAUAAUAUUAAACCCACCUCAGAUUUUAUCCCGUAGUAUGUAAAGUUCAUGUAAAGUUUCCACCUUUACGACCGUCCGAUGUUUAAAGUUCUAAUUUUGUUCCGGGGUUUUAUCAGUUUAUUUAGAAAUUAUGUCCAUUGUUUUUAUGAAAAUGGAACUAUUUUCAUUUGUUUAUUUCUCUAUGGAUGAGAAAACCGGUCUUUAAGCUAUAUAAUCUUUAUUUGAUUAUUAGAUUUCUCUUUUGUUAUUCAGAUGAGUUCAGUUUUCCAAUUCUGUGCAAUUGUUUUGUUGCAUUUUUCAAUUUUAUUUUUCCAAUGCGACGUUUAUGUUUGUAUUUUUUUAAAAGUGGACAUGAAUUUUGAUUUGUUGUUGCUUUGUUGUGAUCGAGUAGCCAAUUUUAAGUCCAUAUUAAACUUUCUCAAUUAUUAGUUGAAUUAUUUGGAUUUGAAAUUUUAAGUUCUUAAAACCGCCAUUUUAACUUGUUUGUUAAUGACUCUGUUGAACUUCAACAUUUGUUUUCAAGAACAAAAUUGAUGGAACUAUAAACCUUCGUUUGUCACAUGUGGGCAACAUGUUAUGUUAGACAGAGUGAAAUCGACAGAAGAAACCAAAACCUUGGAAACAGAGACACAGAGAGAGAUCGGCAGAAAUGGCUUGGUGCAGAGUACGCUCAGCUUCAUCGACACUCUUCAUUAGGCUUCUCCGCCCUUCCAUUCUCAACAAUAACACUACUUAACGCUAUCAGUCCUGUGGUACUCUUGUUUCUAUACUUGUGGAAUCUCUCUUUUAAUCCUCAAAGUUUGAAUUAAAUUAUAUUGCUCUGUAUUUCUGCAGAAACUGAAUCAGUUGGUGAUGACAUUAAUUCUCAAGUUGGAAGUUGCAUGCCACUUGCUUGUAUGCAUGUUGGGACCAUCAUCAACAACAUUGAGGUAAACUCAGCCAAGAUUUUGAAAAAGAAUCCACUUCAAGGUACUGCUUAGUUUCUGGAAAUGAGAAACUGAUCGACACUAGACGUCAACCCACCAUUGAUACAGUGUCUAACCCAGCCAUGAAGCUAAGGUGCUUAGGAAGGCUGGUCAGAGCCAUUGGUUGGGCCAAAGACCUGUGAUUAGAGGAGUACCAAUGAAUCCAGUUGAUCAUCCUCGUGGUCGAGGUGAGGGACGAGGCAAAAGUAGCGGUAACCAUGGAAGGUGUUCACUUACACCUUGGGGCAAGCCUUGUAAGUGGUGUAAAACUGCAUCUCGUAAGAAGAAAAGGAAAUUUAGCUGUCUGAUAAUAUUGUCCUUCUGUGCUAUUUAGCCUUUUUAAUAUUGUUACAUUGUUUGUUAUAUCUUUGAUGUUAGUUUUGGACCAGCUUUUAACUGAUCCAUAAUGAAACUGAAGUUUAAUUUUCGAUUGAACUUUUACUGGUUUUACUCCUGUCAUUUCAAUUUAGCAUUGAUUUAAGAUGCUGAAUUCUGUGAUUGGAGUCUGUAGAUUGGAAAGAGAGAUAUUAUAGGAUAGAAUAUAGAUUUUGUGUUUUGGUUUCUCAUGUUUAGAGAUAUUCUGUUCUUUUUCAUUUAUUCAAUUUGGUUAGUGGUGAUCUCUUAAAGAGUCAAUGCAUGUGUGUUUAUAUACUUUUCUUUUGGCCUUGAUUCUAUUUCUUGGGGAGUUUAUACAGAUUCCUCUUUUAUGCUUCACAUGCCACAUGAAAGAUGGAAGCCUUUUGUGUGAUUAGAAUUGACUUGCAUCAUAGUAACUUUGAACCACUGUGACAUUUUUAUAAUAGCAGUUUGCGAUCUCCUUGAAGGAUUCAAAGCAUUUUUUUUGUUAGUCUUGGCUUGCAUUAAAAUCCUUUAUACGGAAUGGUUGGUCUCCUUUAAAGCAUUUCCUGUUUUAAGUAAUCAAAAUCUUGAUUCGGAAGUGUGUUUUAGCACUAAUAAAGGUUCUUUUAAAUACUAAAUUGAUUGUGAGUCUUCUAUAUCAUCUCAUUGAAAUACAUGAAAGCGAUAUUGGCUACAAAAGUACACUUGGGGUUGUUUAUAAAGUCUUCAACAGCAUUUGUUUUUUUUCCCCUUCUUCCUCGUGGUUGAUUUUUUAGUUGUUCUUUAACAAAACACUUAAAAGGUUCUCUUUGAAGGUUUCUGAAAAUAAUUUUAACAUCGCCAUUUUUCAGAAGCACUUUAGAUACCUGUGGCAUUUAGAAAAUUUUGUUCCAGCGUUCACAUAAUAUACAUAGAAAUUUGAAUUUAUUUAAUUAUGAGCAUGUGCUAGUGCCUAUUGGCAUCCACUUGUAUAUACGAAUGUAUUAUACAAUACAAUAUUAGCUUGACUGUAGCAUAGAGGAGAAUAGGGUCGGAAUUGGUCUGAAUUCUGAUCUUUGAAUAAAUAUAAUAGCUGAUUGAAGCUGCUCAUGUGACUCGAUUGUCGGCAGCUUACAUAAGGUCUUUUAGCUUUUUAAAAAGUUUUGUGAUAUUUCAUAGUUCACAUGGAUUGCUACAAUAUAGAAUACCCAAUUAGGGCAUUUUUAUUUACUAUGCAUAGGAGUCUUGAGUCUUCCUUCAUGCGCGCGCGCGCGCGCACACAUAUAUUUCCCACUUCCGUUCACUCCAAAAGUGAAAAUUGCGGGCAAUUUUUAUCUUCAGUAAAAUUGGAGUAGAUGUUGUUCUUAUUGGCGCAAAUUUGCGAACCAUGUUUGUGGGACCCUUAACCUUGGGCCUUUGUUAUGAUUAUAUGCAUUCAGGCUUUUGGUAGACCCUUGGAUAGUAUGAUCAAUGUAUUAUAAUUUAGAAUUCAUAUUUAUAAGAGUCAGUUUGGUAAUGUUAUAAUUUUUAAAAUAAUUACUGUUAGUUAUACUAUAGAAAUAAUCAGUUGUAAAUAGAAUAAGUUAAACAGUUGAUAAAUUUUGUUUUUAAGGUGUUGUGAGUUUUAAAAACAAUUUGUAUGUAUUUAGUAAAUCUCGCUUUUAAAGUAUUAUAAGAAUGCAAAAGACUUAAACGGAUAGAAAUCUAUAAAAUUUAUUUAAUCUAUAAAAUUUAUUUACAUGUGCAUGUAUACAAUAAUAUUUUGUGCAUGUACAUAAUAAUUAAUAUAACUGAAAUAAAUAUUUUUAUUUUAUUAAUUAUAUAUUUUUCUUAUUAUCUCAAUAUAAUUGGUAAUAAUAAUCUUUUUAAUAAUGCAUUUACUAAUCAGUAAUCGAAAUGGGCUGAAAUCUGAAUGGAGUUUGAAAAUCAUAAUAAAUUGUUUACUUUAGCUAUAGGAAUCAAAAUUACAAUGAGCUAUAUUAUCAUUAAUAUAUUUAUUUUGUCUUGGAAUUGAAAUGAAUUGUUACAAAUUGCUAAACUAAUUUUAUUAUUAUCAAUAUUAUUAUUAAACAAGGUAAAGGAAAUUUUUAAUUUUCACUAGGUGUAGAAAUGCCGAUUCACUUUUUAUUCUCAUUCUCAUUCCGUCUCCUCAUAGGAUUACCUUUUCACAUUCUCAAAAAUUUACAGUUGACUCACAUUUCAUUCUGAUUCCUCCUUAUUUUAAAAGUAAAUAAGUUAAAGAAUCAUAUUCCCUUAUUCUUGUUUUUCAUUCACAUUCCUUCUCCUUAUUUUGGAAGUAAAUAACUUAAAGAAUCAUAUUCUCUUAUUCUUGUUCUCAUUCUCAUUCUCAAUUAGUAAGUACACUAUAAAUGCAAUGAUUUUGUUUCCUAAUUAAACAAGGUUAAUUUUUAAAUUUUUAUAAUAGAUGUUAAGAUAUAUGUAGAAUUAUAUUAAAUAUAAAACUGAUUCCCAAAAUCAUAUUUUAUAAAACUAUUUUUUCUUAUUUUUUGAAAUUUAUUGUAGGAUGGGGUGAUUUUAUCAAAGUAAUUUUUAAAAAAAAAUUCGGACCCAUUUGGGAUUGCUUUUGGAAGGCUCAAAAAGGAUUUUGAAUAGCUAAAAUUUAAGUUUGGUGUUCUAUAAUUUUUUUUUUUUAAAAAAAUAACUUCUGAUAAAAUUAUCUUAUCCACAUUAGAUUUUAAAAAGAAAGGAAAAAGUAAUUUUUUAAAAUCUGAUUUUAAGAAUCAUUUUUAUACUUAAUACAAUUUCAUAUAUAUCCUGAUAUAUAUCAUAAAAAUUCAAAAUUAUCUUUAUUAGUUAGAAAAUAAAAUCAAUAACUUUAAAAAGAUUAUUAUUAUUUCCAAUUAUAUUGAGCUAGCAAAAAGAAAUAAAAUUACUAAUAUAAAAUUUAUUUUAACUAUUAAUUAUUAUAUUUACCAAUAAAAAAUAUUUUAUAUACACAUUUAUAAAUAUGUAAAUAAAAUUUAUUCAUAUCUAAUUCAACCAUUUACAUUACUACAGCAAUUUAACAACUGGUUGUCAUUGCUCGGGAAUUAUAUAAUUACCAUAUGUUGUAAAAAUGCAUUGAGCCAUGCCAUGUGUUUGAUACAGGUUAUGCUUGUUGGAUUAAAUUGUACUCACCUAUAAAUCAAUGAUUCAGUACGUGUGCAUGUUAGUGGUCUUCAGAAUCCAGAAUAAUAAAUGCCUUGAAAUGCUUGAGUUCAAUGAUUUCGCAGAAGACCAGGUUCCUUGUUAAUGAGUCAGCAUGACUGAAUCCUUCACUAAGCCAAAUUUGUUUCCACUUUUAGUUUAGAAAUUGUCAUUGAUUAAGAAAGUGUUUGAUAAAAUGCUUUGGGAGCACUAUUCGUUGGACGUUUGCCCAGAAUUUAUGAAAUCAUUGGUGUUUCAUCCUAUUUGUAACACUCUUCUUUAUUUUCUAUUCUAACGAAGAAAUCUUUUAUUAGAAAAGUGACAAGAUUGCACCUUUCAUUUGUAUGUUAAGGAGGUGUAAAAUUUUCUCGUUAAAAUCCCAUCAUGAAAAAAACUCACGGGCAAAAACCUACUGAAAAUUAAAGAAAGAAGAGUAAAUCAUGAUAAAUACUCUCUCUUUUACAAUGCAAGCGGAUGCUUCAAUGAGUAGAUCAUGCGCCAAACUUGUAUAUCGUUGUUGGUAGUGCUUUGUUGAAUCAAUAUGCUAGAUUUUCACUUCCCUUUUUUUUUUUCUUCUUUUUUUUCCUUGUGGAUGCGAAAAUGAUUUGGGUUAAACUAUACUUAAUGCCGGUUUGGUACGACUUCUCUACUAAUUAAAAGAGUUUUUUUUCUUAAAUGUUCAAAAAGCUUUUAUUAUUAUAAAUUGUAAUUUGAGUGGAUUUCUUAGGAUUAAACAAGUUAUAUUUUUGUCUCUAUAAAGAAGUUCAAGUUAUAGAUUUUGGCAAUAGAGAUGUAGAGGUUUUUUUUUUUCAGAGAACUAAAUUGUGGAGACUAUCUUUAUUUGGUUAUACAACUUUUUUUUUUUUUAAUUUCAUAACAUAAUUUUAAAAGACUUAUUUAAUAAAUUUGAUAUUUUUUUGUAAAAAUUAUCAUUCACGUCCAAACUACUGAAGAUUUUUUUGUUAAACGCACUACUUAAAAGCUAUAUUAAUUAUAAACUUUCUAAAAAAAAAAAUCAAUUCAAAGAGUUAUAGCAAACAAAGUGCUAGUUAACUUCAGUCGAUAAUAAUCUUCUAAUCCGUCCUACAAAUGACUUUCGACAAGAGUGGUGCUACUCACAUCUCUUCAAAACCCAUUUGACACCCCGUUUUCUUUAUUUAAAAUUUUAUACAUUUGAAAAUUAUUUUUUCUUUUACUUGACACUCUUCAAAUUCUAAAACUAAGCUUCAAAGAACCUUCGUCAUUAAAUCUCAUUGCCUUCCUUUAUUCUUGUUACUUGAGAAGAAGAAUGAGAGUCUGGAAGAAUGAAAGAAAAUUCAGCGAGAUAGAAAUCUAGUAAUUUCAUACCAUGAUUCAGAAUUUUUUUUUUCUCAAAAGAAUCUACUAUUCUUCUAUAUUUUAUAUAAAAAAAAAGAGGAAAAGAGGAAACUGAGAGACUCUUUGUUUAAUGCUUGAAAGUUAGAAAGAAAAGGUCAGGAAGCUGCCUGGCAAUGAGAGUGAUGCAUCAGCACUAAUUUCUAUCUCGAUAGCUACCAAUUACCACCCCUAGAAAGGCUGUUGAUCAACAAGCCAUAUCUACUGGUUUCCUUUCUUUAAAAGUUCUAAUGGUCCCCUUAAAAAUCUCUAUAUGCUCAGUCUUCUCAUGAUAUAUCUGAUUUUCGCUGAGAAUUAUAGCAAGCGCUUCAGAUAUCAUAAUACUUUGUGACUGACUACUGUGCAUGCUUAAUUAUAAGAUUAUUCCUUGUGGCCAAUUAAAAUGUCCCCCUUUAGAGCCUCUGUAUUUGAAAAAGCAAGACAAUGAGCUUAAUUAUUGUCAAGGUCUCCGGUAGGAUACUCCUAAAUCCACAUACCCACCCACCAGAACUCCAAUCUUGAAACUUAUAAACCAGGGAUAUGUCAGGCCUUUAAAGCACCACUACAUACAUUUGAGUCUGAAAUUGCUCCAAUUAGUAUUAUGAUUAUUAUUUUAAAAAACUCAACCUGAGCAACGUGCCUCAGCAUACAAUAUUUAUUGACAACUACAAAGUAAUAGUGGGAGGGGGUUGCCCUGGGUUUUGUUUAAAAAUUGAAGUAAAAAAUUUUCAAAUUUCAAAUUUCUAGUACAAAGAAAAUUGAUGACUAAAUUAAAUUCUGCAAAUUAAUUUCUAAUAUUACAUGAAAAUAUUAUCAAGUUAAUUGGUAACAUCGUUAAUCACUUAAUCCUCAAUCUAAUACGUUAUGUAUUUGUUACUCUGUCUUAAAUCAAAAGUUGCGGUGAUUUAUUUUUUAUUUUCACUAAUCAGAAAGGCAUGUUGAGCUUUUAUUUUGUUGAAAAUGAACCAAAAAAACUCCGAUUGGGAGAUUAUAAAUGUAAUUAACAAUAAUUUAACUUUCAUUUUGAAAGUCAUUAUAUUAUUUAUUCAGGAGAAGCGUUCUUUUAUAUUUUAUAGAUAUAAUGUUUGCUAAUCCUAAUUUAAGCUAAAGCAUAUGCAUUUCCUAAUUAAUUCUAGUUUAAGCUUAUUCAACUGCAAUCAAUUAAUGUUCAAUAAUACAAAUUCCAAAUACUAUAUAUUCUAAGAAUUUUAAUCGUAAUGACAAGGUGAUCAUUUUAAUUAUUACCGUUAAAUUAUAUAUGUAUGGUGGAGAGGAGUCCACACGGUUUUGACGAGAAAUUAAAGAAUUAAAAGACAAUAUUUAGUUAAGCUAGUAGUAUUUGUUCUGUUUAGUACGUCGUUUUACCAGCAAGCAUCCCGGCAAUGCACGCAUUAAUAAAAAAAUUUAUCUGUUUGGACUGAUUGGUAGUGAAAAAUUCCACAUACUUUAAAUUAAGAAAAUGCUAAGCAUCUUAAAGAAAACAAUUAAAAUAUUGUCACUUGAUGCUUGAAUCAUUAUUGUUAAAUAUCUCGCUUGAGUUGUAUUCCCCAGUUGUGAGUAUCAUUAUUGUCUUUGCAAUCUAAUCAAUUAAUUUUCUUUCUGGAGACAAGAUUUUGAUUCCUUUCAUCGUUACAAAAACGGAACCAUGGUUGAUGUGGGAGAGAUCUUACUCAACGCCUUCUUUCAGGUGUUGUUUGACAGGUUGGCUUCCCGUGAUUUGCUCAGCUUUGUCCGUCAACUUGGAGGGGUGGUCGAUUCCGAGCUCAAGAAGUGGGAAAGAAAGCUGAAGAUGAUUCAGGCGGUGCUCAACGAUGCAGAGGAGAAGCAACUGACCGACGAGGCCGUGAAGAUGUGGCUGGACGAUCUCCAAGACUUGGCUUAUGACGCUGAGGACAUUCUUGAUGAGUUUGCUACUCAAGCUUUGGAAAGCAAGUUGAUGGCGCAAAAUCAGGAUAGCUCUGGCCAGCUUCUCAGUUUCAUCCCGGCUAGUUUGAAUCCGAAUAUUACUGGAGGGGCAUCAUCAACUGCUGCUGCUACACAGCAGAGGCCGCCCAGUUCGAGUGUCCCAACAGAACGUGAAGUAUUUGGAAGAGAAGAAGAUAAGGCCAAAAUUCUUGAUAUGGUAUUGGCUGAUACCCCAAGUGAUCAUGCCGACUUUGUUGUAAUACCCAUUGUUGGCAUGGGCGGGAUAGGAAAAACAACUCUCGCUCGGGAGGUCUACAAUGACAAGGCCGUUGAACAUUCCAAGUUUGAUGUAAAAGCAUGGGUUUGUGUAUCUGAUGUCUUUGACGUUUUGGGCAUCUCAAAGGCGCUUCUCGAGUCAAUCACCCGCAGGCCAUGUCUUCUAAACAGUUUAAACGAAGUGCAGGUUGAAUUGAAAGUAGCUGUGGAUAAAAAAAGAUUCUUGCUGGUCUUAGAUGAUGUUUGGAACGAGGAGUACAGCUUGUGGGUAGACUUAAAAGCUCCGUUCCUGGCUGCUGCACCAAACAGUAAGAUGAUCGUCACCACACGCAAUUCAAAUGUUGCAUCAACAAUGGGGCCAGUUGAACAUUACAAUCUCAGGAGUCUAUCAGAUGAUGAUUGCUGGUCCAUUUUCAUAAAGCAUGCAUUUGAAUCUAGAGAUCUUAACGCACAUCAAAUUUCAGAAUCAUUCCGCAAGAAAGUUGUUGCCAAGUGUGGAGGCUUGGCCCUGGCAGCAAAAACACUCGGAGGCCUUCUGCGUACGACGAGGCAUGAUGCGUGGGAUGAUAUAUUAGAGAGCAAAAUAUGGGAUUUACCUCGACAAAGUGGGGUUCUCCCAGUAUUAAGAUUGAGUUACCAUCAUCUUCCUUCUCAUUUGAAAAGAUGUUUGGCUUACUGUGCAAUCUUUCCAAAAGAUUAUGAAUUCAAUGAGAAGGAGGUGACUUUUUUAUGGAUGGCCGGAGGUAUUAUUCGACAGUCAAGAUGCAAAGAGCGGCUAGAAGAUUGGGGCAGCAAGUGCUUCCAUGAUCUGGUGUCAAGGUCAAUUUUUCAGCAAACAGCAAUCUCUGAUAGUUGUAAAUUUGUAAUGCAUGACCUUAUCCAUGAUCUUGCUGAAUUGGUCUCUGGAGAAACCAUAUUUAGGUUAGAGGAGGCCAAUACUCUGUCAAGAAGUUUUGAAAGGGUUCGCCAUUCUUCCUAUGCUUGUGGUGAAUAUGAUGGUAAAAAUAUGUUCGAGGUUUUCAAUGAAAUUGAACAUCUACGAACAUUCUGGCCAUUACGCUUACGCAUAAGAGGUGGCUCUAAUACUAGUUACAUAACUCGUACGGUUCUAUCUGAUUUGCUGCCGAAGUUCAAAAUGUUGAGAAUGCUAUCUUUACAAGGAUACCGUAUUGGUGAGUUACCAAUUCCAUUGGAAGAUUUGAGACUUCUAAGGUUCCUCAACCUUGCUGACACUGACAUAAGAAGUUUACCUGAGUCAACAUGCAAACUGCUGAACUUGGAAAUUUUGAUAUUAAGAAAUUGUUCCUGUUUGAUAAAGCUUCCGCAGAAAAUGAGGAAUUUGAUCAAUUUACGUCACCUCGAUAUAAGAGGUGCGAAGUUGCUGAAGGAGAUGCCAUUCGGAAUGAAAGAGUUGAAGAAGCUUCAAACAUUGUCCAAUUUCAUCGUGGGCAAGGGCGAAACU